Molecule: ribosomal RNA, 495 nt
Filed under: uncultured bacterium
Lineage: Bacteria
Description: partial 16S ribosomal RNA
Rfam family: Bacterial small subunit ribosomal RNA
Source: RNAcentral
GACGAACGCUGGCGGCGUGCCUAAUACAUGCAAGUAGAACGCUGAAGGAGGAGCUUGCUUCUCCGGAUGAGUUGCGAACGGGUGAGUAACGCGUAGGUAACCUGCCUGGUAGCGGGGGAUAACUAUUGGAAACGAUAGCUAAUACCGCAUAACAGUAGAUAUUGCAUGAUAUCUGCUUGAAAGGUGCAAUUGCAUCACUACCAGAUGGACCUGCGUUGUAUUAGCUAGUUGGUGAGGUAACGGCUCACCAAGGCGACGAUACAUAGCCGACCUGAGAGGGUGAUCGGCCACACUGGGACUGAGACACGGCCCAGACUCCUACGGGAGGCAGCAGUAGGGAAUCUUCGGCAAUGGACGGAAGUCUGACCGAGCAACGCCGCGUGAGAGAAGAAGGUUUUCGGAUCGUAAAGCUCUGUUGUAAGAGAAGAACGAGUGUGAGAGUGGAAAGUUCACACUGUGACGGUAUCUUACCAGAAAGGGACGGCUAACUACGUG